AUUUUUGUAUCAGCAUGAGGCGGGCUGGACCUCUCGGGGUUACAGCCUUGCUGAAUUAUUCACCCUUGUCUUUUGCGUACUUCUUGUUUCCUUGGUGGGUUCGCCCACCACUAGGACAAACAUAAACCUUUUGUAAUUGCAAUCAGCGUCAGUAACAAAUUAAUAAUUACAACUUUCAACAACGGAUCUCUUGGUUCUGGCAUCGAUGAAGAACGCAGCGAAAUGCGAUAAGUAGUGUGAAUUGCAGAAUUCAGUGAAUCAUCGAAUCUUUGAACGCACAUUGCGCCCUUUGGUAUUCCAAAGGGCAUGCCUGUUCGAGCGUCAUUUGUACCCUCAAGCUUUGCUUGGUGUUGGGCGUCUUGUCUCUAGCUUUGCUGGAGACUCGCCUUAAAGUAAUUGGCAGCCGGCCUACUGGUUUCGGAGCGCAGCACAAGUCGCACUCUCUAUCAGCAAAGGUCUAGCAUCCAUUAAGCCUUUUUUCAACUUUUGACCUCGGAUCAGGUAGGGAUACCCGCUGAACUUAAGCAUAUCAAUAAGACGGAGGAA
This 546-nucleotide ribosomal RNA is filed under the name Alternaria alternata. RNAcentral's name for it is "eukaryotic LSU rRNA". The stretch from base 171 to 324 matches the Rfam family "5.8S ribosomal RNA". Lineage: Eukaryota; Fungi; Ascomycota; Dothideomycetes; Pleosporales; Pleosporaceae. The record is from RNAcentral.